RNAcentral lists this ribosomal RNA (2933 nucleotides) under Citrobacter freundii. RNAcentral describes it as "23S ribosomal RNA". It matches the Rfam family "Bacterial large subunit ribosomal RNA". The record is from RNAcentral. Lineage: Bacteria; Pseudomonadati; Pseudomonadota; Gammaproteobacteria; Enterobacterales; Enterobacteriaceae.
GGGUUGUGAGGUUAAGCGACUAAGCGUACACGGUGGAUGCCCUGGCAGUCAGAGGCGAUGAAGGACGUGCUAAUCUGCGAUAAGCGUCGGUAAGGUGAUAUGAACCGUUAUAACCGGCGAUUUCCGAAUGGGGAAACCCAGUGUGAUUCGUCACACUAUCAUUACGUGAAUACAUAGCGUAAUGAAGCGAACCGGGGGAACUGAAACAUCUAAGUACCCCGAGGAAAAGAAAUCAACCGAGAGAUUCCCCAGUAGCGGCGAGCGAACGGGGAGCAGCCCAGAGUCUGAAUCAGCUUGUGUGUUAGUGGAACGGUCUGGAAAGUCCGACGGUACAGGGUGAUAGUCCCGUACACCAAAAUGCACAGGUUGUGAACUCGAAGAGUAGGGCGGGACACGUGGUAUCCUGUCUGAAUAUGGGGGGACCAUCCUCCAAGGCUAAAUACUCCUGACUGACCGAUAGUGAACCAGUACCGUGAGGGAAAGGCGAAAAGAACCCCGGCGAGGGGAGUGAAAAAGAACCUGAAACCGUGUACGUACAAGCAGUGGGAGCCUCUUUAUGGGGUGACUGCGUACCUUUUGUAUAAUGGGUCAGCGACUUAUAUUCUGUAGCAAGGUUAACCGUAUAGGGGAGCCGAAGGGAAACCGAGUCUUAACUGGGCGUUAAGUUGCAGGGUAUAGACCCGAAACCCGGUGAUCUAGCCAUGGGCAGGUUGAAGGUUGGGUAACACUAACUGGAGGACCGAACCGAACCGACUAAUGUUGAAAAAUUAGCGGAUGACUUGUGGCUGGGGGUGAAAGGCCAAUCAAACCGGGAGAUAGCUGGUUCUCCCCGAAAGCUAUUUAGGUAGCGCCUCGUGAACUCAUCUUCGGGGUAGAGCACUGUUUCGGCUAGGGGGUCAUCCCGACUUACCAACCCGAUGCAAACUGCGAAUACCGAAGAAUGUUAUCACGGGAGACACACGGCGGGUGCUAACGUCCGUCGUGAAGAGGGAAACAACCCAGACCGCCAGCUAAGGUCCCAAAGUCAUGGUUAAGUGGGAAACGAUGUGGGAAGGCACAGACAGCCAGGAUGUUGGCUUAGAAGCAGCCAUCAUUUAAAGAAAGCGUAAUAGCUCACUGGUCGAGUCGGCCUGCGCGGAAGAUGUAACGGGGCUAAACCAUGCACCGAAGCUGCGGCAGCGACACUAUGUGUUGUUGGGUAGGGGAGCGUUCUGUAAGCCGUUGAAGGUGGCCUGUGAGGGUUGCUGGAGGUAUCAGAAGUGCGAAUGCUGACAUAAGUAACGAUAAUGCGGGUGAAAAACCCGCACGCCGGAAGACCAAGGGUUCCUGUCCAACGUUAAUCGGGGCAGGGUGAGUCGACCCCUAAGGCGAGGCCGAAAGGCGUAGUCGAUGGGAAACAGGUUAAUAUUCCUGUACUUGGUGUUACUGCGAAGGGGGGACGGAGAAGGCUAUGUUAGCCGGGCGACGGUUGUCCCGGUUUAAGCAUGUAGGCGGAGGUUCCAGGUAAAUCCGGUACCUUUUUAACGCUGAGGUGUGAUGACGAGGCACUACGGUGCUGAAGUAACAAAUGCCCUGCUUCCAGGAAAAGCCUCUAAGCAUCAGGUAACACGAAAUCGUACCCCAAACCGACACAGGUGGUCAGGUAGAGAAUACCAAGGCGCUUGAGAGAACUCGGGUGAAGGAACUAGGCAAAAUGGUGCCGUAACUUCGGGAGAAGGCACGCUGAUAUGUAGGUGAAGUGAUUUACUCAUGGAGCUGAAAUCAGUCGAAGAUACCAGCUGGCUGCAACUGUUUAUUAAAAACACAGCACUGUGCAAACACGAAAGUGGACGUAUACGGUGUGACGCCUGCCCGGUGCCGGAAGGUUAAUUGAUGGGGUUAUCCGUAAGGAGAAGCUCUUGAUCGAAGCCCCGGUAAACGGCGGCCGUAACUAUAACGGUCCUAAGGUAGCGAAAUUCCUUGUCGGGUAAGUUCCGACCUGCACGAAUGGCGUAAUGAUGGCCAGGCUGUCUCCACCCGAGACUCAGUGAAAUUGAACUCGCUGUGAAGAUGCAGUGUACCCGCGGCAAGACGGAAAGACCCCGUGAACCUUUACUAUAGCUUGACACUGAACACUGGUCCUUGAUGUGUAGGAUAGGUGGGAGGCUUUGAAGUGUGGACGCCAGUCUGCAUGGAGCCAUCCUUGAAAUACCACCCUUUAAUGGCUGGUGUUCUAACGUGGACCCGUUACCCGGGUUGCGGACAGUGUCUGGUGGGUAGUUUGACUGGGGCGGUCUCCUCCUAAAGAGUAACGGAGGAGCACGAAGGUUAGCUAAUCCUGGUCGGACAUCAGGAGGUUAGUGCAAAGGCAUAAGCUAGCUUGACUGCGAGAGUGACGGCUCGAGCAGGUGCGAAAGCAGGUCUUAGUGAUCCGGUGGUUCUGAAUGGAAGGGCCAUCGCUCAACGGAUAAAAGGUACUCCGGGGAUAACAGGCUGAUACCGCCCAAGAGUUCAUAUCGACGGCGGUGUUUGGCACCUCGAUGUCGGCUCAUCACAUCCUGGGGCUGAAGUAGGUCCCAAGGGUAUGGCUGUUCGCCAUUUAAAGUGGUACGCGAGCUGGGUUUAGAACGUCGUGAGACAGUUCGGUCCCUAUCUGCCGUGGGCGCUGGAGAAUUGAGGGGGGCUGCUCCUAGUACGAGAGGACCGGAGUGGACGCAUCACUGGUGUUCGGGUUGUCAUGCCAAUGGCAUUGCCCGGUAGCUAAAUGCGGAAGAGAUAAGUGCUGAAAGCAUCUAAGCACGAAACUUGCCCCGAGAUGAGUUCUCCCUGAGACUAUAAGUCUCCUGAAGGAACGUUAAAGACGAUGACGUUGAUAGGUCGGGUGUGUAAGCGUAGCGAUACGUUGAGCUAACCGAUACUAAUGAACCGUGAGGCUUAACCUUACAACGCCGAAG